RNAcentral lists this small RNA (1464 nucleotides) under Vigna angularis var. angularis. RNAcentral describes it as "Non-protein coding transcript". Lineage: Eukaryota; Viridiplantae; Streptophyta; Magnoliopsida; Fabales; Fabaceae. The record is from RNAcentral.
GCGAAUAGUGGUGUCACAUACUCAAUCCAAUCCUCAGACUGAUCCACAAGAGUUACAGGAUCUUGGAGAAAAAAAAAAAAGAAGCCUUGGUUACAUUUACUUUUAUAGAGUGACAGAAUGGGGGAAAAGUGAUGUGGGGAAGAAAAGGACUCAUCAACAAACUUUAAAAUUUCAACUCAAUAAAAACACCUAACUGGAGUUGAAUGAUUCUCAAGUCAUUUACAAGAAAAGAACUUUGAUCCUCCCAUAAACAAAUUUACACAAAUGUUAUUUCACACUGGGGAAAAAAUAAAAUUGCCAAAAUCUUAACUAUACUAAUCUUAACUAUAUAUAGAUAUAAGCCAAGCCAAUAAUGUUCAGAGUCCUGGUUUGGAUCUUGAAUUCUGGACAAAUUUAACCACCGAUCUAGUCACAGGUGUGGCCAUGAUGUGGUUGCUGAGAGUUCAAAAAUCUUGAAGUUUGCAGCUGAAAUUGGUAAACUUUGUUUUAGAGCUUGAGGGAUAAAUCAAGGUGCUUCAUUUCUUCUUGAUUAUUGCUCUUCAAACGAGUUUCAGCACCGGCCACACAUCCACCGAUUUCCUUAUUGGCUGAAGAAUUCAUCAGGGUGUUAGCCAUUUCAAACCUACCAACACUUGUUUGUGAUGAUGAAAAUGCUGAUUUUGUUCUGUGAAAAUCAGCCACCGGUAGUUUUGCUAUUCCAGGUUGUUGGUCAAUGACGGGUCUUGACCAACCAUGGUGGUGUGCAUAAGAGUUUCCAAAUCCAGUCACAUGAUGAUGAUGAUGAUGAUGAUGGUGAUGAGAGGGCUUUUGGAUCAUGGAGUGUGCUUGAAUUCCAAGAGGUCCUCCUCUACUAUUGGUAGCACCAUAAAGGGGUAGGGAAGCCAUGCUUGCAUAGUGGGUGUUAUUAUGCAGUAAGGGAAGGCCAAAGGCCAUUAUCUGUGAUCCAAACCUGUGCCCUCUCUUUGCUAUUGACCUCUCCCUCUUGUGUGCAUUUUGGUGCCCACCAAGUGCUUGUGAACUGUAGAACUUUCUGUGGCAGUAGUUGCAAGAGAAGACUCUUGGCUCAGCAGCAUCAGAAGCAAGAGGGACUUCUGAAGAAGAAUUGCCACUAAUGGAUGAUGACCCCACAUCCAAACAGGUUAUGAGAUUCAGUUCUAGUGCUUCUGCACUGCAAGAAUCAUCACCUGAAACAUUUAGAUCCAAUACAGCACCAUGCUUUGACUCCUUAUUUUCUUCCUCUUCUUCCUCAACAGAUACCUGUUUCUUCUCAUGUGGAUGCUGAAGCGGAGUGCUUGGACUAGGAGGUGCCUCUGCAGCACAAGAGAAGAUGCUUCCUCUGUCACAAAAGUAUGCCUCCUUCUUGCUUCUUCCUUCCAUUGCAGUUUCCAGAGUCCACAUUUGAAAGCUCUCCCACAAAACAAAAUCACAAAGUUUCAAUCCAUCCAUAAAAGUAAUAUCUUUCGG